RNAcentral lists this ribosomal RNA (497 nucleotides) under uncultured bacterium. RNAcentral's name for it is "partial 16S ribosomal RNA". It matches the Rfam family "Bacterial small subunit ribosomal RNA", at positions 899 to 1397 of the family's 1533-position model. The record is from RNAcentral.
ACUCAAAGGAAUUGACGGGGGCCCGCACAAGCGGUGGAGCAUGUGGUUCAAUUCGACGCAACGCGAAGAACCUUACCCAGGCUUGAACUGUGACUGACCACUCCCGAAAGGGAGCUUCCGCAAGGACAGUUACAGAGGUGCUGCAUGGCUGUCGUCAGCUCGUGUCGUGAGAUGUUGGGUUAAGUCCCGCAACGAGCGCAACCCUUGUUUGCUGUUGCCAUCAGGUAAUGCUGGGCACUCUGCAAAGACUGCCGGUGAUAAACCGGAGGAAGGUGGGGAUGACGUCAAGUCAGCAUGGCCUUUAUGUCUGGGGCUACACACGUGCUACAAUGGCCGAUACAAACCGUCGCGAGCCCGCAAGGGGGAGCUAAUCGGAGAAAGUCGGUCUCAGUUCGGAUCGUAGGCUGCAACUCGCCUGCGUGAAGUUGGAAUCGCUAGUAAUCGCGGAUCAGCACGCCGCGGUGAAUACGUUCCCGGGCCUUGUACACACCGCCCGU